RNAcentral lists this non-coding RNA (253 nucleotides) under Youngiibacter fragilis. Its description in RNAcentral is "T-box sequence". It matches the Rfam family "T-box leader". From Rfam's summary of the family: Uncharged tRNA acts as the effector for transcription antitermination of genes in the T-box leader family. T-boxes are found upstream of many aminoacyl-tRNA synthetase genes and some amino acid biosynthetic genes usually in Gram-positive bacteria. Lineage: Bacteria; Bacillati; Bacillota; Clostridia; Eubacteriales; Clostridiaceae. The record is from RNAcentral.
AUAAAUGCAGUGACUGGGAAGAAGUAAAUGCGGGAAAUGCUUACAGAGAGCAGCUGGACGAUGAGAAGCGCAAGCAGAUACCGCAAUUGAAUACAUCCCAAGAGCAUCUCACCGAAAGUAAGGCGAGUAGGCUGAGUACGGAUUGCGCCCGUUAUAGCGCCAGGGUAUCGUGCUGAAAACACCGUACCUGAUGAGGUUCAUGCUGCGAGGUAUGGACGAAAAAGGUGGUAACGCGAUUGGACUCGCCCUUUGA